This 83-nucleotide signal recognition particle RNA is filed under the name Halomonas sp. Its description in RNAcentral is "partial signal recognition particle sRNA small type". It matches the Rfam family "Bacterial small signal recognition particle RNA", at positions 15 to 97 of the family's 97-position model. Rfam says of the family: The signal recognition particle (SRP) is a universally conserved ribonucleoprotein involved in the co-translational targeting of proteins to membranes. Archaeal SRP consists of a 7S RNA and homologues of the eukaryotic SRP19 and SRP54 proteins. Lineage: Bacteria; Pseudomonadati; Pseudomonadota; Gammaproteobacteria; Oceanospirillales; Halomonadaceae. The record is from RNAcentral.
CAACGCUAAACUGCGAACCCCGCCAGGCCCGGAAGGGAGCAACGGUAGUGGUGGCUGCGUGUGCCGGGAUGUGGCUUUUGGGG